Molecule: ribosomal RNA, 422 nt
Filed under: uncultured bacterium
Lineage: Bacteria
Description: partial 16S ribosomal RNA
Rfam family: Bacterial small subunit ribosomal RNA
Source: RNAcentral
AAUUUUGGACAAUGGGGGAAACCCUGAUCCAGCCAUCCCGCGUGUAUGAUGAAGGCCUUCGGGUUGUAAAGUACUUUUGGCAGAGAAGAAAAGGUAUCUCCUAAUACUAGAUACUGCUGACGGUAUCUGCAGAAUAAGCACCGGCUAGCUACGUGCCAGCAGCCGCGGUAAUACGUAGGGUGCAAGCGUUAAUCGGAAUUACUGGGCGUAAAGCGUGUGGAGGGGGUUCGGAAAAAAAGACGUUAAACCCCAGGCCUCAACCUUGGAACUGCUUUUUUAACUGCCGAGCUAGGGUAUGUCAGAGGGGGGUAAAAUUCCACGUUUAGCAGUGAAAUGCGUAAAUAUGUGGAGGAAUACCGAUGGCGAAGGCAGCCCCCUGGGAUAAAACUGACGCUCAGACAGGAAGGCGGGGGGAGCAAACA